GAUGAACGUUGGCGGUGUGCCUAAUACAUGCAAGUCGAACGGAGAUUGUAGCAAUACGGUCUUAGUGGCGAACGGGUGAGUAACGCGUUGGUGAUCUGCCUCGAAGUGUGGAAUAACGAUUCGAAAGAAUCGCUAAUACCGCAUACGUUCGUCGGGCUGUGGCCUGACGAGGAAAGGCGCUUCGGCGCCACCCGGAGAUGAGCCCGCGUCCCAUUAGCUAGUUGGUGAGGUAACGGCCCACCAAGGCGAUGAUGGGUAGGCGGCCUGAGAGGGUGUACGCCCACACUGGGACUGAGAUACGGCCCAGACUCCUACGGGAGGCAGCAGCUAAGAAUAUUCCGCAAUGG
This 347-nucleotide ribosomal RNA is filed under the name uncultured bacterium. RNAcentral's name for it is "bacterial SSU rRNA". It matches the Rfam family "Bacterial small subunit ribosomal RNA", at positions 28 to 374 of the family's 1533-position model. The record is from RNAcentral.